UCCGUUUUGUCAACGGCAGUCUCAAUAGAGUGCCCGGCCGAACCGCUGGCAACUAUUGAUAAGGGUUGCGCUCGUUGCGGGACUUAACCCAACAUCUCACGACACGAGCUGACGACAGCCAUGCAGCACCUUGCACUCUGUCUGGUUUUACCCAGAAGGCCCUAUCUCUAGGGUUGUCAGAGGCAUUCUAGCCCAGGUAAGGUGGGGAUGACGUUACGGUCUUACU
This 226-nucleotide unclassified non-coding RNA is filed under the name uncultured Acidobacteriota bacterium. Its description in RNAcentral is "uncultured Acidobacteria bacterium contains 16S-23S intergenic spacer region". Lineage: Bacteria; Pseudomonadati; Acidobacteriota. The record is from RNAcentral.